AAUAAUAAGGGCAGCAGAAUGUUGAAAUGUUCUAUCUUUAUCAUUAAAGUGGCAGAAAAUCAUUUAUUAGUAGGCACUGGGGGCAGAAGAUGCCUGAUUUUGUAUCUUUGUCAUAUUUGUACAGUUGUUUCAACAAGGAACUUAAAGACAAAAUGGAAAAACGAGGAGGUUUGUGCCUGAGAUCAUGUUGAUGGGAAACCAGGGAUGGCCACCUUGUGCCAGUGAUCUUUGUGUCUGUUUUUGCUCCGGACCGAUGCUCUUUGAUGACUGUGGCUUUGCAGUAUAAUCUGAAGUCAAGGUUAUGGACGUUUUCAGCUCUUAUGUCUUCAGGUAUGUUCUACACUGCUUUCUCUUUCCUUUUUGCUUCUGGGACCAGUAUAAGGCAAAUAUUAGUACACUUGAUGUUGUUUCACAAGUCUGUUCAACUUUCCUCAUUUCAUUUUAAUCUGUUGUUUUACCGUUCAUCUUCAGUGAUUGACUGUACUCUGUCCUUCAGGUUUCUGAUUCAUUCCUCUGUAUCAUUUAGUCUACAGUAGUUUCCUUUUG
Non-coding RNA from Delphinapterus leucas (beluga whale), 546 nucleotides. The record is from RefSeq and is a predicted model, not a curated record. Lineage: Eukaryota; Metazoa; Chordata; Mammalia; Artiodactyla; Monodontidae.